UGGGGAAUUUGGACAAUGGGGGAAACCCUGAUCCAGCCAUCCCGCGUGUGCGAUGAAGGCCUUCGGGUUGUAAAGCACUUUUGGCAGGAAAGAAACGUCGCGGGUUAAUACCCCGCGAAACUGACGGUACCUGCAGAAUAAGCACCGGCUAACUACGUGCCAGCAGCCGCGGUAAUACGUAGGGUGCAAGCGUUAAUCGGAAUUACUGGGCGUAAAGCGUGCGCAGGCGGUUCGGAAAGAAAGAUGUGAAAUCCCAGAGCUUAACUUUGGAACUGCAUUUUUAACUACCGGGCUAGAGUGUGUCAGAGGGAGGUGGAAUUCCGCGUGUAGCAGUGAAAUGCGUAGAUAUGCGGAGGAACACCGAUGGCGAAGGCAGCCUCCUGGGAUAACACUGACGCUCAUGCACGAAAGCGUGGGGAGCAAACAGGAUUAGAUACCCUGGUAGUCCACGCCCUAAACGAUGUCAACUAGCUGUUGGGGCCUUCGGGCCUUGGUAGCGCAGCUAACGCGUGAAGUUGACCGCCUGGGGAGUACGGUCGCAAGAUUAAAACUUAAAUGAAUUGACGGGGGUCAUAGCUGUUUCC
This 584-nucleotide ribosomal RNA is filed under the name uncultured bacterium. RNAcentral describes it as "partial 16S ribosomal RNA". It matches the Rfam family "Bacterial small subunit ribosomal RNA", at positions 356 to 933 of the family's 1533-position model. The record is from RNAcentral.